ACGCUCGACACCUACGGGAGCAGCAGUGGGGAAUAUUGCACAAUGGGGGAAACCCUGAUGCAGCGACGCCGCGUGAGCGAAGAAGUAUCUCGGUAUGUAAAGCUCUAUCAGCAGGGAAGAAGAUGACGGUACCUGACUAAGAAGCACCGGCUAAAUACGUGCCAUCAGCCGCGGUAAUCUGAGCGGGCUGGCAAGGC
Molecule: ribosomal RNA, 197 nt
Filed under: uncultured bacterium
Lineage: Bacteria
Description: partial 16S ribosomal RNA
Rfam family: Bacterial small subunit ribosomal RNA
Source: RNAcentral